UCUAGAAAUGUUUACGUGGGAACUUGCAAAGCUUGACCUGGAAUCUCACCACUGUAACACUUGCCAACAGCGCCUUUAACUUAAAAUAAAGUCGCAGCAAAUGUCAAGUGUAACUUUAACACUGAGUUUUUUAAAAGGGUCCUGUCACUAACAACAAAAAAUAUUUAUGUUGUUAAGAGCCGGCAACAAAAGACGGGCGACAUCGCGUCUUCGCCAGAACAUCUGCAAUUCUACAUUUAUGUGCGAAUGCUGUUAAAGUUGGUACUACAGACAUAGUCACCAUGUAAUAAGAGGAUACCAAUGACUCACCAGUUUUCAAGACUUUUAAUACGAAGACAAGGAAAUAAACCAGCUGCAUCAGAAGUUCUGAAUGCAUACUUAACACAAUGUAAAAAGCCACCAUGGACAUCUUACUUUGUGAAAUACACCAGUGUUUAUGAUGACCAAUGGGGCCAGUCGCAUUUUAACUGGCCAGUUCAAGAAACAAAUUAUCAUAUUCUCCGCACAGGAUGUUAUCCUUACAUAAAGUAUCACUGUACAAAGAGACCAUAUCAAGAUCUUCAGCUUGAAGAUACAUUCUUUCGUUUUAUAAAGAUUGCUAAUUUAGAAAAAAUUGAGGAAUCUGGAAAGAUGAGGAAAGGGCAAGGUGUAUUUAAAAAUAGGGGAAAAUGCAUACUGAUAAUUGAGAGAUUUAUGAAACUGAGGACAAAGAAUGAAUAGGAACAAUAAAACUGAAUUAUAGUGCAAGAGAAGGAAACUGGAAGAACUAUUGAAGGAAUAUGGAAUGGAGGUAUACCCUGCUUAGCUUAUGGCUUAGCUGCUACUCUUCUUAUCAAACACAUAGAAAUUGUGCACACUUCAAAAGGUAAUGUAAAAAUAUAUUUCUUAUACAAGGAAGACAAAGGAU
This 907-nucleotide unclassified non-coding RNA is filed under the name Schistocerca americana (American grasshopper). RNAcentral describes it as "uncharacterized protein C15orf61, transcript variant X11". Lineage: Eukaryota; Metazoa; Arthropoda; Insecta; Orthoptera; Acrididae. The record is from RNAcentral.